This 481-nucleotide ribosomal RNA is filed under the name uncultured bacterium. RNAcentral describes it as "bacterial SSU rRNA". It matches the Rfam family "Bacterial small subunit ribosomal RNA", at positions 56 to 527 of the family's 1533-position model. The record is from RNAcentral.
UGCAGUCGACGGUAGAGAGGUGCUUGCACCUCUUGAGAGUGGCGAACGGGUGAGUAACGCGUUGAUGAUCUACCUUUUGGUUGGGGAUAGCUCAUGGAAACAUGGGGUAAUACCGAAUAAGAUCCUUUUGCUAUGGCGGAGGGAUGAAAGGGGCUUCGGCCUCGCCGAGAGAUGAGUCUGCGUAUGAUUAGCUAGUUGGUGUGGUAAAGGCGCACCAAGGCGACGAUCAUUAGCCGGCCUGAGAGGGUGACCGGCCACAUUGGGACUGAGACACGGCCCAGACUCCUACGGGAGGCAGCAGCUAAGAAUCUUCCGCAAUGGGCGAAAGCCUGACGGAGCGACGCCGCGUGGAUGAAGAAGGCGGAGACGUUGUAAAAUCCUUUUCUCACAGAAGAAUAAGUUCCGGAGGUAAUGCCGGAGCGAUGACGUUAUGUGAGGAAUAAGCACCGGCCAAUUACGUGCCAGCAGCCGCGGUAAUACG